RNAcentral lists this ribosomal RNA (1449 nucleotides) under uncultured organism. Its description in RNAcentral is "SSU rRNA". It matches the Rfam family "Bacterial small subunit ribosomal RNA". The record is from RNAcentral.
UGAACGCUAGCGACAGGCUUAACACAUGCAAGUCGAGGGGCAGCACAGGUAGCAAUACCGGGUGGCGACCGGCGCACGGGUGAGUAACGCGUAUGCAACUUGCCUAUCAGAGGGGGAUAACCCGGCGAAAGUCGGACUAAUACCGCAUGAAGCAGGGAUCCCGCAUGGGAAUAUUUGCUAAAGAUUCAUCGCUGAUAGAUAGGCAUGCGUUCCAUUAGGCAGUUGGCGGGGUAACGGCCCACCAAACCGACGAUGGAUAGGGGUUCUGAGAGGAAGGUCCCCCACAUUGGUACUGAGACACGGACCAAACUCCUACGGGAGGCAGCAGUGAGGAAUAUUGGUCAAUGGCCGAGAGGCUGAACCAGCCAAGUCGCGUGAGGGAUGAAGGUUCUAUGGAUCGUAAACCUCUUUUAUAAGGGAAUAAAGUGCGGGACGUGUCCCGUUUUGUAUGUACCUUAUGAAUAAGGAUCGGCUAACUCCGUGCCAGCAGCCGCGGUAAUACGGAGGAUCCGAGCGUUAUCCGGAUUUAUUGGGUUUAAAGGGUGCGUAGGCGGCCUUUUAAGUCAGCGGUGAAAGUCUGUGGCUCAACCAUAGAAUUGCCGUUGAAACUGGGGGGCUUGAGUAUGUUUGAGGCAGGCGGAAUGCGUGGUGUAGCGGUGAAAUGCAUAGAUAUCACGCAGAACCCCGAUUGCGAAGGCAGCCUGCCAAGCCAUUACUGACGCUGAUGCACGAAAGCGUGGGGAUCAAACAGGAUUAGAUACCCUGGUAGUCCACGCAGUAAACGAUGAUCACUAGCUGUUUGCGAUACACUGUAAGCGGCACAGCGAAAGCGUUAAGUGAUCCACCUGGGGAGUACGCCGGCAACGGUGAAACUCAAAGGAAUUGACGGGGGCCCGCACAAGCGGAGGAACAUGUGGUUUAAUUCGAUGAUACGCGAGGAACCUUACCCGGGUUUGAACGCAUUCGGACCGAGGUGGAAACACCUUUUCUAGCAAUAGCCGUUUGCGAGGUGCUGCAUGGUUGUCGUCAGCUCGUGCCGUGAGGUGUCGGCUUAAGUGCCAUAACGAGCGCAACCCUUGCCACUAGUUACUAACAGGUAAAGCUGAGGACUCUGGUGGGACUGCCAGCGUAAGCUGCGAGGAAGGCGGGGAUGACGUCAAAUCAGCACGGCCCUUACAUCCGGGGCGACACACGUGUUACAAUGGCGUGGACAAAGGGAGGCCACCUGGCGACAGGGAGCGAAUCCCCAAACCACGUCUCAGUUCGGAUCGGAGUCUGCAACCCGACUCCGUGAAGCUGGAUUCGCUAGUAAUCGCGCAUCAGCCAUGGCGCGGUGAAUACGUUCCCGGGCCUUGUACACACCGCCCGUCAAGCCAUGGGAGCCGGGGGUACCUGAAGUCCGUAACCGAAAGGAUCGGCCUAGGGUAAAACUGGUGACUGGGGCUAAGU